This 328-nucleotide unclassified non-coding RNA is filed under the name uncultured Chytridiomycota. Its description in RNAcentral is "sequence contains ITS2". RNAcentral also lists the same sequence under 1 other name. The record is from RNAcentral. Lineage: Eukaryota; Fungi; Chytridiomycota.
AACGCACAUUGCACUCUAUUUCGGUAGAGUAUGCCUGUUUGAGAAUCUAUAGUAUUUAUUUUGCCUUUAUGCUUUUUACAAAGCGUAAAGACCAAAGAUGUGCAAAUUGAUCCUGUAUCUUUUGCGAAAACUAUAGCUGAACUGAGCUAAGAGUGUUUGACUCUUUGCAAAGCAUCAGAAACGUAUUUGAAUGAGAUUUAUCUCUUAUAAUGCUGAUUAUGAUGCAGUAAAGAUUAGCUUAAAGUUACUUUGCAGUUUAUAACCAUUAAAGCCGUAAAAAAGCUUGAACCAUGGUCUCAAAUCAGGUAGGAAUACCCGCUGAACUUAA